GAUGAACGCUGGCGGCGUGCUUAACACAUGCAAGUCGAACGGCGAAAGAGUGCUUGCUCUCUGUUACAGUUGCGAACGGGUGGGUAACACGUGAGCAAUCUGCCCCCUACUCUGUGGUAGGCGCUGAAGACGGCAUACAUUACCUGAUACGAGCUGCGACGUCCUCUUCAGCACCUGGAAACAACGUCGGUCAGGGGUAGGCUCGCGGCCUAUCAGCUAUUUGGUGUGGGAACGGCUGACGAAGGCGUCGACGGGUAUCCGGCCUGGGAGGGUGACCGGCCACAAUGGGACUGAGAGACGGACCAGACUCCUACAGGGGGCAGCAGUGGCGAAUAUUGCACAAUGGGCGAGAGCGUGAUGAAGAAACGCCGCGUGAGGGAAGACGGCCUGCGGGUUGUAAACCUCUUUUAGCAGGGAAGAAGCGAAAGUGACGGUACCUGAAGAAAAAGCACCGGCUAACUACGUG
Molecule: ribosomal RNA, 466 nt
Filed under: uncultured bacterium
Lineage: Bacteria
Description: partial 16S ribosomal RNA
Rfam family: Bacterial small subunit ribosomal RNA
Source: RNAcentral